GGAAUGGUGCGGUGUGGCGGCUCGUCGGACUCGUAACCCGAAGGUCGCAGGUUCAAAUCCUACUUCCACAACCA
RNAcentral lists this transfer RNA (74 nucleotides) under Paraburkholderia hospita. RNAcentral's name for it is "tRNA-Thr". It matches the Rfam family "tRNA". From Rfam's summary of the family: Transfer RNA (tRNA) molecules are approximately 80 nucleotides in length. Their secondary structure includes four short double-helical elements and three loops (D, anti-codon, and T loops). Further hydrogen bonds mediate the characteristic L-shaped molecular structure. tRNAs have two regions of fundamental functional importance: the anti-codon, which is responsible for specific mRNA codon recognition, and the 3' end, to which the tRNAs corresponding amino acid is attached (by aminoacyl-tRNA synthetases). tRNAs cope with the degeneracy of the genetic code in two manners: having more than one tRNA (with a specific anti-codon) for a particular amino acid; and 'wobble' base-pairing, i.e. permitting non-standard base-pairing at the 3rd anti-codon position. The record is from RNAcentral. Lineage: Bacteria; Pseudomonadati; Pseudomonadota; Betaproteobacteria; Burkholderiales; Burkholderiaceae. RNAcentral also lists the same sequence under 2 other names.